This 115-nucleotide ribosomal RNA is filed under the name Vibrio tapetis subsp. tapetis. Lineage: Bacteria; Pseudomonadati; Pseudomonadota; Gammaproteobacteria; Vibrionales; Vibrionaceae. The record is from RNAcentral.
UGGCGACCAUAGCGUUGCGGACCCACCUGAUCCCAUGCCGAACUCAGAAGUGAAACGCAGUAGCGCCGAUGGUAGUGUGGGGUUUCCCCAUGUGAGAGUAGGACAUCGCCAGGCU